AGAAUCAACGCUGGCGGCGUGCCUCAGACAUGCAAGUCGAACGCGAAAGUCCCCUUCGGGGGGCAAGUAGAGUGGCGCACGGGUGAGUAACACGUAGGUAAUCUACCUUUGGAUGGGGAAUAACAAUCGGAAACGAUUGCUAAUACCGCAUAAUGCAGCGGCACCUAAUGGUGACAGUUGUUAAAGCGGGGGAUCGAAAGACCUCGCGUCUGAAGAGGAGCCUGCGGCGGAUUAGCUAGUUGGUAAGGUAAUGGCUUACCAAGGCUACGAUCCGUAACCGGCCUGAGACGGGCGUCGGUCACGCUGACACGUGACAUACGGGUCAGACUCCUACGGGAGCAGUCAGGUCGGAAUUUUUGGGCAAGUGGGACGAAAGCUAGACC
Molecule: ribosomal RNA, 383 nt
Filed under: uncultured soil bacterium
Lineage: Bacteria
Description: bacterial SSU rRNA
Rfam family: Bacterial small subunit ribosomal RNA
Source: RNAcentral